AUCUGAGCUACGUGUUUUUGCCUAAAUAACCCAUGCCAUAACUUCUCUGCAACUUCGAUCGUUUAGUUCUCCUCUCGAUUUUCCAUCGCCACUCUCUCUUCUUCGCUUACCUUUUAAUGCAGCUUUGAUUCGUCUCCAUCUCCACCGCAGCUUCGAUAUGAACGAAGGAGCACCACCCCCACCAUCAAACUGCGAUCUUUCCCCAUAUAUAGACAACAUACGCGGCAACGAUGGAGCACCACCGCCACCAUCUCCAUCUCCAUCUCCAUCUCUGCCGCUGGUAACCGCCAUCUUUUCCUACCUCCUUUCUUGGGUGAGUCCCUUCAAGUCCUAUUUUUUUAAUUUUAUGGAAUUUCGAAUUGAUUUGGGUAUUUUUGAAACUCUUAACUAUUUUAGGGAUCUAAUGAGUGAAAAAUUGGGGAUUGAAAUUGUAUUUUGGAAAAUUAACUUAUCGAGAUGUACAUUAUAUAAUAUUUUGGAACAUCUAAUUGAUUUGGAAGGUGAGUUUAGUUUUAAAUUUAAUUGGGUAUACUUUUUUACUUAGUUUGGUAAUGGAAGAAUAUUGGAUAGUAGUGCAACAAUGUGUAUUUAAGCUAUGCAAAUGUCUUCAACCCACGAUCCAUUUUACAUUGUAAAGGAGGAGAUUCAAGAUUCUGCAAGUUCAUUCCAAAUUCCUACUAUUUCAAACUUUAACUUUUAAAUUGAAAGGUUUAAUCUAUAGAGUGGUGCAUCACAUUAAGGGCCUAAAGGUAUGAAAACUGCAAAUUACUGUAUGUUAUUCUUAGAUUGCAAAAAUAAGAGAGGGAAUUUCUACUUUAUUCUCUCGUUCAGUUUCUAGUCUUGGCUGCCUUGCCUGAUCAUGUGUAUAGGUUCUCAACUAAUUCACUUAUAUUUGUUUAUCGAAAAUGACCAAGUAAUUGCAAUCUUAAAAUUUUAAAUCCUUAGGAUCUAAUAAUAUUAGUACUCUAGUUUUGUUGAGUUUUGCUGUACUACAAUAGUUUUACUAGAUUUCUUAAUUUAUCAUAAAUUAUAUAGCAUGCAUUAAUUCAUGUUUACUACAAAUCUGGAUUGCAUUUCAUAAAAACUUUAAUAAAGAAACGGAAAACUUGAAAUUUAUUUUUUGGAACAGGGAAUAGUUUCUAACUCUUCUUUUUUCCCAUUCAUCUAUAUGUCAGAGCUUUACUGGAAAAAGGUAACUUACACGACCAUUGUAUUGAUUAAGCAACUAAUAUAUUUCUAUGAUGAUUAAACAUGCUGCAUAUUUGAAUUCAUAAGUGUUGAAUUUUAUAUUUGAAUUGAGGCGAGAUGAUAGAAGAGGGAGCUUUAGCUUUGAAGAUGUACUUGAAAAAACUCUCAUAAUUAUGCUGGUUUUGAUGAAAUUUGGGUUUUGUUUCUUAGCUCCUUGAUAUGUAUAUGCUUAUGGAUGCUAUUUCAAGUUUGGAAGAGCAUAUGCUUUAUUGUGUAUACUGAAUCACAAGUUUUCUUAUGUAGUUAUAAUUUGGUUGGCCAGUUGGUUGAUAUCAAUUUAGGAAAUCGUUGGUUUUGAUGUGUAAAUGAGUGUUAUAUGGUGCUCAAAACAAUUAUUAUAUCUAUAUCUACUUAUGUAAAGGUUUUCAACAAUUUCCAUCGUGGUUAGUGAUUGCAGGCAAUAUCUAUAUAUUCUUUUUAGUAAGAACAAUAGAAAUUUUAUGCAGAGGUCUAGUAAUUAGUAAGGGGGUGCAACUUGUGUUCUUGCAAAACCCAGUCAACUUGGGAUACGCUUGAUUUUUCUACAUUGUAAUGUAUUAUGUAUUUUUGCUAUGACUGAAUGUAAUAUGGGCAGAAAUCAAUCAUUUAUAAGAUUCGUAAUAAGACUGUCAGUUCUUUUCAUAGAAAAAUGAAAUAUUAAAAUUUGAUAGUGAUUUUGUAGUUGGAGAGUGUUCUGAUUUUAGUAACUUGUAAGCGAGCUAAGCUUUAAGAUGAUGGUAAGUGUUACUCUAAACUUGUCAAAAUAAAAAUUAAAAACAUUGAAGAGAAAAAAGUAUAGUGAUGCUCUAUCAAAAUUAUGGUUACAUAUUGAGUGAAUCUCAUACUUUCUUAAAUGAUAUAUGAUAUUUUAAGUUUCAUGGUCAGAAUGACAAUUUUCUUUAAUAUUUACUUGAAUGAAUUUGUGAAUGAUCUUAUAAUCGUAGUCUUUACUUUUAACUACUUAACAUGACAUUCUUUUGAACAUUGUUGUCUAGUUUGUGGAGCUACCUGCAACUUCCACUUGUGAGAUGAUAAUCUUGCAUUGAAGCCACAAGAUAUCUGUAAAGGCGGUUGAUCUCUUUUCUUUCUGGUGCUUUAAAUUUAGUUUACUUGGAAAACAAUGGUGUUGUCGAUCUUUUUGACAAUUGAAAUUGGCCGUCAGUCUUGAGUUUACUUUACCGUUCCUAUUUGCUAUGACCAGGCCAAGUAAUAAUGAUCAUUGAUGUAUUUAUAAAUGGACUACUUUCAUUUGUCAUGAAUCAUUGCUGCACUUUGUUUGCAAAGGUGAUUAUUUUCUGCACUUGAGAAACUCGAGUAGCAGAAAUGAAUCUCAUCCUUUUUGCUUGAUAUGCAUGGUAGGAAGUAAUAUGAAAAAAAUGCGUUAUAGUUGGUUUCUAUCCUUUGUAAAUUGUAACCAAAAUGAAUCUCAUACUUUUUCCUUUUUGCUUGAUAUGUCAUGUAUUUUUCUAUGGGAAAUUUCCUUUAGGAACCAAAAUGAAUUGAUUUCGGUUGCCUUUUGUUAGGAAACCGUAUAUGGUUAUGAUACUCUUUCUAUAAAGAUCUCUUCAGCAUGUCAACCACAUGGCACAUGUUAGUUAUUAUAAAUGGCUUUCAUGUGAUUAAUUGAAAAUUGACAUUAUUUUUACUUUUUCCACCUGAUUUACUUCUAACAUUUGGAUCACCAACUUCAGAUUAUUAUAAGGAAAGGUAACUUCCCUCUUAAGGGCAAUCUGUGUGCGUCCUGCUAAAAAGGAAGCAAGUAUUAAGAUGAUAUGAAUGUACAUAAUUUCAGUCUUAUAAUUAAAAAAUAAGAAAACAAAAAAUGUAAUGUAGUGUUUGUUACUUUUAACCAUGAAGCUUUUCGUUCUUAUUUUUAUUGUCGGUCUCGCUUGUUUUGACCAAUUAUUUUUAUUUCUUAAAUUUCAAGUGAAUUCAGAUGGUAAGACAAAAUAAUUACAACAAUGAUGGUAUUAUUAAGGAUUUUGGCAUUCAAGUGAGGGCUGAGUUCACUUCUAUUAAUGCACAAGUUCUUGAUCCUUCAAAGAUAAAUCAAUCUUUACUCCGACUUCUGUGUUUGAACACAACAUUUUACCUUCCAAAUUAUUUUGACUCCAUUCUCGAAUUUGGUUGACCCAACUUAUGUAUCGUUGCUAUAGGUCGAUUUUCUAGUAAUGUGCAGUUAUAGAUUUGGAUAUUCUGAAUUUAAAGGUUGUGAUCUAUUUUUUCAGUAACAAAGUAGUUUAUGUUGGACAACUAACCAUAUUAAAUAAAGUAGAGAUUUAUUUCUUCACUAAAUACCAUAUUAAAACUGACUUACGGAUCCAGAGUCAUUUCAGUUUUUGUUUAGGUUUAUUUUUUUAUUCUAUUUAUUUUCUACAAACAUAAGAAUAUUAUGUGGUAGUGCAUUAUUUUUUAGAAUAUAUUUAUUUUCCUCAUCUUUUAGGUUUAUAUGCAUUCAAAUAAUUUUUCUGUCCACGGUUGCACUUCAGAUAUAUGUGUAGCAUUGGAAAUAAGAAAGUUGGAACUUUUUGAUAUGUGGGGAGCAGGUGCUACUGAACCUACAACCGAAGACAAUGUUCAAGUUCAAGUGGCUUCAAGUAAUCAGAUGUCUUCUAUAUAUAACUGAACUAUUGUAUUGUAAUAAUGAACGUAAAAGUUAUUAGUUUAGUAGGUUGUUAUAAUAAUGAUC
This 3916-nucleotide long non-coding RNA is filed under the name Panax ginseng (ginseng). Its description in RNAcentral is "long non-coding RNA (PGIN_LNC010579)". The record is from RNAcentral. Lineage: Eukaryota; Viridiplantae; Streptophyta; Magnoliopsida; Apiales; Araliaceae.